This is a long non-coding RNA of Oncorhynchus keta (chum salmon), 2734 nucleotides long. RefSeq lists it as uncharacterized. Lineage: Eukaryota; Metazoa; Chordata; Actinopteri; Salmoniformes; Salmonidae. The record is from RefSeq and is a predicted model, not a curated record. The transcript is spliced from 3 exons.
GUUUCUGUCAGGCUGUGGGGUAACUGGUCCUGCUGACUCCAUUUGUGGUGUGUGUUUCUGUCAGGCUGUGGGGUAACUGGUCCUGCUGACUCCAUUUGUGGUGUGUGUUUCUGUCAGGCUGUGGGGUAACUGGUCCUGCUGACUCCAUUUGUGGUGUGUGUUUCUGUCAGGCUGUGGGGUAACUGGUCCUGAUGACUCCAUUUGUGGUGUGUGUUUCUGUCAGGCUGUGGGGUAACUGGUCCUGAUGACUCCAUUUGUGGUGUGUGUUUCUGUCAGGCUGUGGGGUAACUGGUCCUGCUGACUCCAUUUGUGGUGUGUGUUUCUGUCAGGCUGUGGGGUAACUGGUCCUGCUGACUCCAUUUGUGGUGUGUGUUUCUGUCAGGCUGUGGGGUAACUGGUCCUGAUGACUCCAUUUGUGGUGUGUGUUUCUGUCAGGCUGUGGGGUAACUGGUCCUACUGACUCCAUUUGUGGUGUGUGUUUCUGUCAGGCUGUGGGGUAACUGGUCCUGAUGACUCCAUUUGUGGUGUGUGUUUCUGUCAGGCUGUGGGGUAACUGGUCCUACUGACUCCAUUUGUGGUGUGUGUUUCUGUCAGGCUGUGGGGUAACUGGUCCUGAUGACUCCAUUUGUGGUGUGUGUUUCUGUCAGGCUGUGGGGUAACUGGUCCUGAUGACUCCAUUUGUGGUGUGUUUCUGUCAGGCUGUGGGGUAACUGGUCCUGAUGACUCCAUUUGUGGUGUGUGUUUCUGUCAGGCUGUGGGGUAACUGGUCCUGAUGACUCCAUUUGUGGUGUGUGUUUCUGUCAGGCUGUGGGGUAACUGGUCCUGAUGACUCCAUUUGUGGUGUGUUUCUGUCAGGCUGUGGGGUAACUGGUCCUGAUGACUCCAUUUGUGGUGUGUGUUUCUGUCAGGCUGUGGGGUAACUGGUCCUGAUGACUCCAUUUGUGGUGUGUGUUUCUGUCAGGCUGUGGGGUAACUGGUGCAGGAGAGCAGAGAUGAGUGUACAAGGUCAUUUAUUCCACGAACAGCACCAGUAUAAAACAAAUACUAACGGUGCGUGAGAGGGACCAACUUUGGCAGAAGUCGUGACACCCUGAGGGUCUGUAGGAUGUGUCUCUGAAGACAACACAAAGCCUUUCAUUAAAAUGCUGUAAUGAGAACGGAUGUUAUUUAGAUACUUAUACGUUGGGAUGGAGGGAACACUGAAAGACUGAGGGAACACUGAAAGACUGAGGGAACACUGAAAGACUGAGGGAACACUGAAAGACAGAGGGAACACUGAAAGACUGAGGGAACACUGAAAGACAGAGGGAACACUGAAAGACAGAGGAAACACUGAAAGACUGAGGGAACACUGAAAGACAGAGGGAACACUGAAAGACUGAGGGAACACUGAAAGACGGAGGAAACACUGAAAGACGGAGGGAACACUGAAAGACUGAGGGAACACUGAAAGACGGAGGGAACACUGAAAGACGGAGGAAACACUGAAAGACGGAGGGAACACUGAAAGACUGAGGGAACACUGAAAGACUGAGGGAACACUGAAAGACUGAGGGAACACUGAAAGACGGAGGGAACACUGAAAGACGGAGGGAACACUGAAAGACGGAGGGAACACUGAAAGACGGAGGGAACACUGAAAGACGGAGGGAACACUGAAAGACUGAGGAACACUGAAAGACGGAGGGAACACUGAAAGACGGAGGGAACACUGAAAGACUGAGGGAACACUGAAAGACGGAGGGAACACUGAAAGACGGAGGGAACACUGAAAGACGGAGGGAACACUGAAAGACGGAGGGAACACUGAAAGACGGAGGGAACACUGAAAGACGGAGGGAACACUGAAAGACGGAGGGAACACUGAAAGACGGAGGGAACACUGAAAGACGGAGGGAACACUGAAAGACGGAGGAAACACUGAAAGACGGAGGAAACACUGAAAGACUGAGGGAACACUGAAGGACGGAGGGAAACACUGAAAGACGGAGGAAACACUGAAAGACUGAGGAAACACUGAAAGACGGAGGGAACACUGAAAGACAGAGGGAACACUGAAAGACAGAGGGAACACUGAAAGACAGAGGGAACACUGAAAGACAGAGGGAACACUGAAAGACAGAGGGAACACUGAAAGACAGAGGGAACACUGAAAGACGGAGGGAACACUGAAAGACGGAGGGAACACUGAAAGACGGAGUGAACCACUGAAAGACGGAGUGAACCACUGAAAGACGGAGGGAACACUGAAAGACUGAGGGAACACUGAAAGACUGAGGGAACACUGAAAGACUGAGGGAACACUGAAAGACAGAGGGAAGUUGGGACGGAGGGAACACUGAAAGAAGGAGGGAACACUGAAAGACGGAGGGAACACUGAAAGACGGAGGGAACACUGAAAGACAGAGGGAACACUGAAAGACAGAGGGAACACUGAAAGACAGAGGGAACACUGAAAGACUGAGGGAACACUGAAAGACUGAGGGAACACUGAAAGACUGAGGGAACACUGAAAGACUGAGGGAACACUGAAAGACUGAGGGAACACUGAAAGACUGAGGGAACACUGAAAGACUGAGGGAACACUGAAAGACUGAGGGAACACUGAAAGACAGAGGGAACACUGAAAGACAGAGGGAACACUGAAAGACUGAGGGAACACUGAAAGACUGAGGGAACACUGAAAGACUGAGGGAACACUGAAAGACUGAGGGAACACUGAAAGACUGAGGGA